CGAACGUCGAGAUACUGACUCCGGCAAGAAAAAGCCUGCGCCACAGCCACCACGGCCACCACACCGCAGAAUCGUCCAGCAUCCAAGUCCAGAACCUUCAGCUCCUCCGAUUCCUAAUGAAGAGGACACACUACAGUUCUUUGAUGCGGUGAUUGCGAGCUGUGAUCCAGAGCGCACCAGGAAACCACACAUAGAUGAUGGCCAUGCAGACGUGGACUUUGUUGUGGCUACCAGUACCUGUGAACAUGAUCUCCACUCUAAUUGGGUUUUGCGGGACCCUCGGCGGAUAUCCAUGGACGAAUCUCGUCUGAAGCGUGCAGACAUGAGCACGGAGCAAGGCGCUUGGAAGAAGGCGGUUGGCGGGACCACAGGCAGCACUAGACGUCUUCAGCGAAACCCCAUCCACCUGCCCAAAGUGGUGGAGAGUGCCUUCCAGACCUUGCGCUUCAAACCAAAGCUUAAGAAGAAAGAUUAGCAUGUGGAAUUUGAAAAGAACUCUCCAGUAACUUGGCAAGGUCAAGCAUGAAUAUCAGCAAUAGGGAUUCUUCAGAACGUGCCUUUAUUGUGGUUAAACCAGGUUUUGGUUUCUAUGUGGUCUCAGAGAAAGAGAUUUUGAUAAAAGUGUAAAGACUAAAAGAUUCUACAGCACAAUACGUUGCAGAAAUGGACAUCUGGAGGUGUUUGGUCAUGUAGAGUGAUAGCAGUGAUAGAUUUUGAUCGUCCACAAAUGUUACUUGCAAGAGCAGGUUCAUUGUGCUGGGUGUGGAUGAUGGUUUCAGUUCAGAAUGAAGCAGUAAGAGUCGUCAGGAAUGAGCAGUCAUCUGUUGUGGAACAUAGAAGCUUGGUGACGUAAUACUGGGGUCCUGGAGAUCCCUCACUGGCCCAGCUUCAUCAAUUAUCCAUGCAAAACUAGUCUCAGUUUCAGCAACUCUUAACAACGUUACACUCAGGCCUCCACCAGGGCAUGACCAAGCCGUUCCAGAUAGAACUUCCGUUCAUAGAGUUAUCCAGCCCGAGUAACAGGACUCUCGCCUGCUAACAAACCUCAGCUACAGAUUUGUCUACUGAUCUGUCAACGGUCUGAUUAAUCAGUCAGUCGAUCAGGUGCUGAGACAAGGGAUGAAAAGCACAAUGGGGUCCUCAGGCCAUUUCCAGGUUCCUUUGUCGCUGCUGAUCUCAAGCCCUCUGGAUAUUGGAUAUGGAUCAGAUAACUGAAACCUGGCCAAUGUUCAGAUCUACUGACCAGGAUUCGUUGCAGUUUUGUCCUUGUGUAAACCCAUGAUCUGCAGUCCACUGGGAACUUUCAGAAAAUUACAAAAUACAUUCUCAAUCAUCAAAAAAAUCAAGGCUGACAGACAGGAUGCCAUUAAAGUCAUAAAAAGUCAUAAAUAUGUUCUGAGUAGAGAUGCAAAUUUUUGACAACUGACCGCUAUUACUCUUUAACUAGUCACUAAAAACAGUUUAACAUUUACCGUAUAGUAUUAGCCCAAGUAAAUGAACAUAUAUAUAUAUAUAAGAUCAUAUGCAUAGUUUAAACAACAAUCAACGCAGUCAGCAAUGCUUUAGAACUACAUAACUACAUAGGCUAAUUAUUAGUUAAACACAUUUUGUGAGUUCAGACUGUGCCUUCAACAUGGCGGUGGUAGUAUGAAGGAAGACUGUUUAAGGGAGACAAGACCUCUGUGAACUUGGGCUGAAGUUCUGGGCAGCUUCUCCCUGUAGCUAGAAGGCCAAACCCCUCAUAGCUGUAGUAGGAGUGAUGUAGGUCUGAGGAACAAGGACGAGAUAGGGUGGCGGUGGGGAUUGAGAACCCUUCGUCAUGGGAACCAAACCUGAGGAUAUGAAUUUAUAGGGCAUUAGAUUGGAAGGAGGAGGCUUGUUCCUCCCCCCAACCUCAGUUAUAACUACAUUUGUAGGCUAUACCUCAAGGCUCCACUCAGCAGUAGCAACAUUACAUUUUAUAAAGAGUCAGUUGUAGCUGCCUUAGCACUGUAACAUUUGGCUAGAUAUCCUAGUUGUGACUGUGCUGUAAACUACAUUUAGGAUGGUUCUGCUAUAGCCCUUUAUCAGUGGCUCAGGUACCAUUGGUUAAAAUUACGUGAAGCCAAGGAGUCGAGACGUGGAGUUGACUCCAGAAAAGUCGUGCAUCACUAAUGAAUUAAAAACUUGCCUGUUUGUGUAUUAAUGUCACAAUAACUUUUCAACUAAAAUCACUGGGUAACCUUUUUUGUAUUUGUUGGUUAACUGUAAUUGGUUAAUCGUUAAUAUCCCUAGAUGAAGGACUGAUGUUUUCCUUUACCAAGUGCCUUGUUUUGGUAGAUUGAGGGUUGCUUUUUAGGCAAAAAAAGAAGCCUAAUCUUUACACAUGAACUGAUUAUCCAUAUUUGUCUAACCCCCAAAACGGGUUUAAUGAGUGACCAAAUCUGUUAGUGCUUGUUUUACCUCAAAGUAUGAUUUGUAAAAGAUGAAGUUGUGGUGAGAGAUGAUCUCACUUUGUUUUUAAAUAAAAGCUUGGUAAGAGGAACCUGUGCACUGCUAGUUUCUUCUUCUCAGGAAAGAGGAAACAGGGUUUAUAUUUUGCCAAACUAAACCAGGAAAGCCCCA
This is a long non-coding RNA of Pygocentrus nattereri (red-bellied piranha), 2604 nucleotides long. The record is from Ensembl. NCBI's taxonomy places the organism in Eukaryota, Metazoa, Chordata, Actinopteri, Characiformes, Serrasalmidae.